CCUACGGGAGGCAGCAGUGGGGAAUAUUGGACAAUGGGCGAAAGCCUGAUCCAGCCAUGCCGCGUGUGUGAAGAAGGCCUUCAGGUUGUAAAGCACUUUCAGUGGGGAAGAAAGCCUUGGGGCUAAUACCCUCGAGGAAGGACAUCACCCACAGAAGAAGCACCGGCUAACUCCGUGCCAGCAGCCGCGGUAAUACGGAGGGUGCGAGCGUUAAUCGGAAUUACUGGGCGUAAAGCGCGCGUAGGCGGUCUGAUAAGCCGGUUGUGAAAGCCCCGGGCUCAACCUGGGAACGGCAUCCGGAACUGUCAGGCUAGAGUGCAGGAGAGGAAGGUAGAAUUCCCGGUGUAGCGGUGAAAUGCGUAGAGAUCGGGAGGAAUACCAGUGGCGAAGGCGGCCUUCUGGACUGACACUGACGCUGAGGUGCGAAAGCGUGGGUAGCAAACAGGAUUAGAUACCCGAGUAGUC
Molecule: ribosomal RNA, 465 nt
Filed under: Vreelandella stevensii
Lineage: Bacteria; Pseudomonadati; Pseudomonadota; Gammaproteobacteria; Oceanospirillales; Halomonadaceae
Description: partial 16S ribosomal RNA
Rfam family: Bacterial small subunit ribosomal RNA
Source: RNAcentral